AAGUGAGUUUUGGCUCUAUAAAGAAGGCCUGACAGCUUAUGGAGAGGAGAGCAUCUCAGAGAGACUGUGUGUGUCUCAACGCCUCUCAACGAGGGUCCGAGAAAAAUCGUGAACGGCUGAGAGCGCCCAGGACAUCAAUAGCAGCGGCGAAGAAUGGCUGAGGAGCAGCUUAGCAUGAUUAGCAAGUAGACCAGUCAAGAGUGUCCUGGAAUGGUCA
This 217-nucleotide long non-coding RNA is filed under the name Elaeis guineensis (African oil palm). RNAcentral's name for it is "long non-coding RNA (EGUI_LNC003398)". Lineage: Eukaryota; Viridiplantae; Streptophyta; Magnoliopsida; Arecales; Arecaceae. The record is from RNAcentral.